Molecule: long non-coding RNA, 467 nt
Organism: Pangasianodon hypophthalmus (striped catfish)
Lineage: Eukaryota; Metazoa; Chordata; Actinopteri; Siluriformes; Pangasiidae
Exons: 4
Source: RefSeq, a predicted model, not a curated record
AGAGAAGUUUAAUUCACACGCCCAAUCCCGACUCGAGGUCGUUGAGAGUGAGGAGUGUGAUAGAAGAAGCUGAAGAGGUCAUCUCGACAGAAAGGAAACAUCUAGAAGGCGACAGAGAAAGAAGCCACCAACAGGAGGACGGUGUAGGAUGACGCCAAACUCCAGGGCAGCUACAAAUACAGUGAUGGUGAUUGAGAAGCGAGCAUGUCUUUGUGAGCUCCAUCAUGACCGGACAAUAAGGGAGGUGGCACGGAAAGAAAGUGCGGAUGAGUAACAGCUUCCUCGGAUCGUCAUCGUAUAAUGUGACAUGGAGAAAACGUGUUCGUUCACAGUUUAUAGAAUUCAGACGCAAGACAACAGCAGUGGGAGACGCCUGGACCGUUCCAGUUCCACAGGCUUCUGAUUUACAGUGAAAGUGGCAUUUGUCUGAAUACGAAGAUAAAACAAACAAACAAACAAAAAUAAAA